This 948-nucleotide ribosomal RNA is filed under the name uncultured Gammaproteobacteria bacterium. RNAcentral's name for it is "bacterial SSU rRNA". It matches the Rfam family "Bacterial small subunit ribosomal RNA", at positions 247 to 1188 of the family's 1533-position model. The record is from RNAcentral. Lineage: Bacteria; Pseudomonadati; Pseudomonadota; Gammaproteobacteria.
AGUAGGUGGGGUAACGGCUCACCUAGGCGACGAUCCCUAGCUGGUCUGAGAGGAUGACCAGCCACACUGGAACUGAGACACGGUCCAGACUCCUACGGGAGGCAGCAGUGGGGAAUAUUGCACAAUGGGCGCAAGCCUGAUGCAGCCAUGCCGCGUGUAUGAAGAAGGCCUUCGGGUUGUAAAGUACUUUCAGCGGGGAGGAAGGGAGUAAAGUUAAUACCUUUGCUCAUUGACGUUACCCGCAGAAGAAGCACCGGCUAACUCCGUGCCAGCAGCCGCGGUAAUACGGAGGGUGCAAGCGUUAAUCGGAAUUACUGGGCGUAAAGCGCACGCAGGCGGUUUGUUAAGUCAGAUGUGAAAUCCCCGGGCUCAACCUGGGAACUGCAUCUGAUACUGGCAAGCUUGAGUCUCGUAGAGGGGGGUAGAAUUCCAGGUGUAGCGGUGAAAUGCGUUGAGAUCUGGAGGAAUACCGGUGGCGAAGGCGGCCCCCUGGACGAAGACUGACGCUCAGGUGCGAAAGCGUGGGGAGCAAACAGGAUUAGAUACCCUGGUAGUCCACGCCGUAAACGAUGUCGACUUGGAGGUUGUGCCCUUGAGGCGUGGCUUCCGGAGCUAACGCGUUAAGUCGACCGCCUGGGGAGUACGGCCGCAAGGUUAAAACUCAAAUGAAUUGACGGGGGCCCGCACAAGCGGUGGAGCAUGUGGUUUAAUUCGAUGCAACGCGAAGAACCUUACCUGGUCUUGACAUCCACGGAAGUUUUCAGGGAUGAGAAUGUGCCUUCGGGAACCGUGAGACAGGUGCUGCAUGGCUGUCGUCAGCUCGUGUUGUGAAAUGUUGGGUUAAGUCCCGCAACGAGCGCAACCCUUAUCCUUUGUUGCCAGCGGUCCGGCCGGGAACUCAAAGGAGACUGCCAGUGAUAAACUGGAGGAAGGUGGGGAUGACGUCAA